GACGAACGCUGGCGGCGUGCUUAACACAUGCAAGUCGAACGGAAAGGCCCUGCUUUUGUGGGGUGCUCGAGUGGCGAACGGGUGAGUAACACGUGAGUAACCUGCCCUUGACUUUGGGAUAACUUCAGGAAACUGGGGCUAAUACCGGAUAGGAGCUCCUGCUGCAUGGUGGGGGUUGGAAAGUUUCGGCGGUUGGGGAUGGACUCGCGGCUUAUCAGCUUGUUGGUGGGGUAGUGGCUUACCAAGGCUUUGACGGGUAGCCGGCCUGAGAGGGUGACCGGCCACAUUGGGACUGAGAUACGGCCCAGACUCCUACGGGAGGCAGCAGUGGGGAAUAUUGCACAAUGGGCGGAAGCCUGAUGCAGCAACGCCGCGUGCGGGAUGACGGCCUUCGGGUUGUAAACCGCUUUCGCCUGUGACGAAGCGUGAGUGACGGUAAUGGGUAAAGAAGCACCGGCUAACUACGUGCCAGCAGCCGCGGUGAUACGUAGGGUGCGAGCGUUGUCCGGAUUUAUUGGGCGUAAAGGGCUCGUAGGUGGUUGAUCGCGUCGGAAGUGUAAUCUUGGGGCUUAACCCUGAGCGUGCUUUCGAUACGGGUUGACUUGAGGAAGGUAGGGGAGAAUGGAAUUCCUGGUGGAGCGGUGGAAUGCGCAGAUAUCAGGAGGAACACCAGUGGCGAAGGCGGUUCUCUGGGCCUUUCCCUGACGCUGAGGAGCGAAAGCGUGGGGAGCGAACAGGCUUAGAUACCCUGGUAGUCCGCGCUGUAAACGGUGGGUACUAGGUGUGGGGUCCAUUCCACGGGUUCCGUGCCGUAGCUAACGCUUUAAGUACCCCGCCUGGGGAGUACGGCCGCAAGGCUAAAACUCAAAGGAAUUGACGGGGCCCCGCACAAGCGGCGGAGCAUGCGGAUUAAUUCGAUGCAACGCGUAGAACCUUACCUGGGUUUGACAUGGAUCGGGAGUGCUCAGAGAUGGGUGUGCCUCUUUUGGGGUCGGUUCACAGGUGGUGCAUGGCUGUCGUCAGCUCGUGUCGUGAGAUGUUGGGUUAAGUCCCGCAACGAGCGCAACCCUUGUUCACUGUUGCCAGCACGUUAUGGUGGGGACUCAGUGGAGACCGCCGGGGUCAACUCGGAGGAAGGUGGGGAUGACGUCAAGUCAUCAUGCCCCUUAUGUCCAGGGCUUCACGCAUGCUACAAUGGCUGGUACAGAGAGUGGCGAGCCUGUGAGGGUGAGCGAAUCUCGGAAAGCCGGUCUCAGUUCGGAUUGGGGUCUGCAACUCGACCUCAUGAAGUCGGAGUCGCUAGUAAUCGCAGAUCAGCAACGCUGCGGUGAAUACGUUCCCGGG
Molecule: ribosomal RNA, 1344 nt
Filed under: uncultured bacterium
Lineage: Bacteria
Description: 16S ribosomal RNA
Rfam family: Bacterial small subunit ribosomal RNA
Source: RNAcentral